AGGUUAAGUUAACAAGGGCGCAUGGUGAAUGCCUUGGCACUAGGAGCCGAUGAAGGACGGGACUAACACCGAUAUGCUUCGGGGAGCUGUACGUAAGCUAUGAUCCGGAGAUUUCCGAAUGGGGCAACCCAGCAGUUUUAAUCAACUGUUACCACUAGAUGAAUUCAUAGUCUAGUUGGAGGUAAACGCUGUGAACUGAAACAUCUCAUUAGCAGCAGGAAUAUAAAGAAAUUUCGAUUCCCUAAGUAGCGGCGAGCGAACGGGGAACAGCCCAAACCAAAGUGCUUGCACUUUGGGGUUGUAGGACUGAACAUUUGAGUUACCAAAGAACUUGAUAGUCGAAGGAUUUGGGAAAAUCCGCCAUAGAUGGUGAUAGCCCAGUAGAUUAAAUCAAAUUCUCUCAGUUCAGGAUCCUGAGUACGGCGGAACACGUGAAAUUCCGUCGGAAUCCGGGAGGACCAUCUCCCAAGGCUAAAUACUACCUAGUGACCGAUAGUGAACCAGUACCGUGAGGGAAAGGUGAAAAGCACCCCGGGAGGGGAGUGAAAUAGUUCCUGAAACCAUGUGCCUACAAUAAGUCAGAGCGCGUUAAUGCGUGAUGGCGUGCCUUUUGUAGAAUGAACCGGCGAGUUAUGAUCCCGUGCAAGGUUAAGACUAAAAAGUCGGAGCCGUAGCGAAAGCGAGUCUGAAAUGGGCGUUUUGAGUACGAGGUUAUAGACCCGAAACCAGGUGACCUAUCCAUGUCCAGGUUGAAGGUGCGGUAAAACGCACUGGAGGACCGAACCCGUGUAAGUUGAAAAUUGCUGGGAUGAGGUGUGGAUAGCGGUGAAAUUCCAAACGAACUUGGAGAUAGCUGGUUCUCUCCGAAAUAGCUUUAGGGCUAGCCUCGGAAUUAGGAUCAUGGAGGUAGAGCACUAUUUGGACUAGGGGCCCGUCUUGGGUUACUGAAUUCAGAUAAACUCCGAAUGCCAUUGAUUCAUAUCCGGGAGUCAGACGAUGAGUGAUAAGAUCCACCGUCGAAAGGGGAACAGCCCAGACCAUCAGUUAAGGUCCCUAAAUGUAUGCUAAGUGGAAAAGGAUGUGGAGUUGCAUAGACAACUAGGAUGUUGGCUCAGAAGCAGCCACCAUUUAAAGAGUGCGUAAUAGCUCACUAGUCGAGUGAUCCUGCGCCGAAAAUGUACCGGGGCUAAGCAUACUACCGAAACCAUGGAUGCGACCAUUAGGUCGCGUGAUAGGAGAGCGUUCUAAGGGCGGUGAAGCAAGAUCGUGAGGACUUGUGGAGCGCUUAGAAGUGAGAAUGCCGGUAUGAGUAGCGAAAGAUAGGUGAGAAUCCUAUCCACCGAAUGACUAAGGUUUCCUGGGGAAGGCUCGUCCUCCCAGGGUUAGUCGGGACCUAAGUCGAGGCCGAGAGGCGUAGACGAUGGAUAACAGGUUGAGAUUCCUGUACUAGUUAAGUGCGUUUGAGCAAUGGAGGGACGCAGGAGGCUAAGAUGUGCAUUCUGUUGGAUUAGAAUGUCCAAGCAGUAAGUCUUGUGGAGAGUCAAAUGCUUUUCACUUUAAGGACAAGCUGUGAUGGGGAGCGAAAUUUAGUAGCGAAGCGUCUGAUGUCACACUGCCGAGAAAAGCUUCUAGUGAGUACUUAACUACCCGUACCGCAAACCGACACAGGUAGUCGAGGAGAGAAUCCUAAGGUGAGCGAGUGAACUCUCGUUAAGGAACUCGGCAAAAUGACCCCGUAACUUCGGGAGAAGGGGUGCUGAUCGCAAGAUCAGCCGCAGUGAAUAGGCCCAGGCGACUGUUUAUCAAAAACACAGGUCUCUGCAAAAUCGUAAGAUGACGUAUAGGGGCUGACGCCUGCCCGGUGCUGGAAGGUUAAAAGGAUGGGUUAGCUUCGGCGAAGCUCAGAAUUGAAGCCCCAGUAAACGGCGGCCGUAACUAUAACGGUCCUAAGGUAGCGAAAUUCCUUGUCGGGUAAGUUCCGACCCGCACGAAAGGCGUAACGAUCUGGGCACUGUCUCAACGAGAGACUCGGUGAAAUUAUAUUGUCCGUGAAGAUGCGGACUACCCGCGACAGGACGGAAAGACCCCAUGGAGCUUUACUGUAGCUUGAUAUUGAGUGUUUGUACAGCUUGUACAGGAUAGGUAGGAGCCAUAGAAACCGGAACGCUAGUUUCGGUGGAGGCGUUGGUGGGAUACUACCCUCGCUGUAUGACCACUCUAACCCGCACCACUAAUCGUGGUGGGAGACAGUGUCAGGUGGGCAGUUUGACUGGGGCGGUCGCCUCCUAAAAAGUAACGGAGGCGCCCAAAGGUUCCCUCAGAAUGGUUGGAAAUCAUUCGCAGAGUGUAAAGGCACAAGGGAGCUUGACUGCGAGACAGACAGGUCGAGCAGGGACGAAAGUCGGGCUUAGUGAUCCGGUGGUACCGUAUGGAAGGGCCAUCGCUCAACGGAUAAAAGCUACCCUGGGGAUAACAGGCUUAUCUCCCCCAAGAGUCCACAUCGACGGGGAGGUUUGGCACCUCGAUGUCGGCUCAUCGCAUCCUGGGGCUGUAGUCGGUCCCAAGGGUUGGGCUGUUCGCCCAUUAAAGCGGUACGCGAGCUGGGUUCAGAACGUCGUGAGACAGUUCGGUCCCUAUCCGUCGCGGGCGUAGGAAAUUUGAGAGGACCUGUCCUUAGUACGAGAGGACCGGGAUGGACAUACCUCUGGUGUACCAGUUGUGCCGCCAGGCGCAUCGCUGGGUAGCUACGUAUGGAUGUGAUAAACGCUGAAAGCAUCUAAGUGUGAAACACACCUCGAGAUGAGAUUUCCCAUUCCUUUAUGGAAGUAAGACCCCUGAAAGAUGAUCAGGUAGAUAGGUUAGAAGUGGCAGUGCGGUGACGCAUGAAGCGGACUAAUACUAAUCGGUCGAGGACUUAACCAAG
RNAcentral lists this ribosomal RNA (2923 nucleotides) under Lactiplantibacillus plantarum. RNAcentral's name for it is "bacterial LSU rRNA". It matches the Rfam family "Bacterial large subunit ribosomal RNA". The record is from RNAcentral. Lineage: Bacteria; Bacillati; Bacillota; Bacilli; Lactobacillales; Lactobacillaceae.